This 492-nucleotide ribosomal RNA is filed under the name uncultured bacterium. RNAcentral's name for it is "partial 16S ribosomal RNA". It matches the Rfam family "Bacterial small subunit ribosomal RNA", at positions 29 to 507 of the family's 1533-position model. The record is from RNAcentral.
AGUGAACGCUGGCGGUAGGCCUAACACAUGCAAGUCGAACGGCAGCACAGUAAGAGCUUGCUCUUACGGGUGGCGAGUGGCGGACGGGUGAGGAAUACAUCGGAAUCUACUUUUUCGUGGGGGGUAACGUAGGGAAACUUACGCUAAUACCGCAUACGACCUACGGGUGAAAGCAGGGGAUCUUCGGACCUUGCGCGAUUGAAUGAGCCGAUGUCGGAUUAGCUAGUUGGCGGGGUAAAGGCCCACCAAGGCGACGAUCCGUAGCUGGUCUGAGAGGAUGAUCAGCCACACUGGAACUGGGACACGGUCCAGACGCCUACGGGAGGCAGCAGUGGGGAAUAUUGGACAAUGGGCGCAAGCCUGAUCCAGCGAUACCGCGUGGGUGGAGAAGGCCUUCGGGUUGUAAAGCCCUUUUGUUGGGAAAGAAAAGCAGCAGGUUAAUACCCCGCUGUUCUGACGGUACCCAAAGAAUAAGCACCGGCUAACUUCGUG